UGGGGAAUCUUGCACAAUGGGGGAAACCCUGAUGCAGCGACGCCGCGUGAGCGAUGAAGCCCCUCGGGGUGUAAAGCUCUUUCGGCAGGGAAGAUUAUGACGGUACCUGCAAAAGUAGCUGCGGCUAACUACGUGCCAGCAGCCGCGGUAAGACGUAGGGGGCCAGCGUUGCUCGGAAUUACUGGGUGUAAAGGGUUCGUAGGCGGUGUGGCAAGUCGGGAGUGAAAUCUCUGGGCUCAACCCAGAGACUGCUUCCGAAACUGCUGUGCUUGAGUGUGGGAGAGGCGCGUGGAAUUGCAGGUGUAGCGGUGAAAUGCGUAGAUAUCUGCAGGAACACCCGUGGCGAAAGCGGCGCGCUGGACCACUACUGACGCUGAGGAACGAAAGCUAGGGGAGCAAACAGGAUUAGAUACCCUGGUAGUCCUAGCCCUAAACGAUCAGGACUUGGGGUGCCACCCGUUCGGGUGUCGUCCCGGAGCUAACGCGUUAAGUCCUGCACCUGGGGAGUACGGUCGCAAGAC
RNAcentral lists this ribosomal RNA (521 nucleotides) under uncultured bacterium. Its description in RNAcentral is "bacterial SSU rRNA". It matches the Rfam family "Bacterial small subunit ribosomal RNA", at positions 355 to 894 of the family's 1533-position model. The record is from RNAcentral.